ACCGUUCAGGGGUAAACCUGAGAAACCCAAAAGAUCGAAUGGGGAGAUUCAUCGUCAGCUCAUUUUGUAUAUAUAUAAGUUAUGAUAUGGGUUACUACUUGUAGUAUUGCCUGUACAUUCUUGUAUAUUUUAUUGCAUUAUGUUGUCGGCGUGCACUUCUCCCCUAGUAGGACGUCGCGACCCGUUGGGUGUCGGUCUACGGCCCAAGUGGUAGCCUUUAAUUUUUAUUAAUUGAAGACCCUUGGUGUUUCCUGACUGGCUAUUCGG
This 267-nucleotide ribosomal RNA is filed under the name Colastes braconius. RNAcentral describes it as "partial 28S ribosomal RNA". The record is from RNAcentral. Lineage: Eukaryota; Metazoa; Arthropoda; Insecta; Hymenoptera; Braconidae.